CUCUACGGCCAUACCACCCUGAACACGUCCAAUCUCGUCUGAUCUCCCAAGCUAAGCAGGGUCGGGCCUGGUUAGUACUUGGAUGGGAUUCCGCCGAGGAAUACCAGGUGCUGUAGGGU
RNAcentral lists this ribosomal RNA (119 nucleotides) under Pteropus alecto (black flying fox). The record is from RNAcentral. Lineage: Eukaryota; Metazoa; Chordata; Mammalia; Chiroptera; Pteropodidae.